Molecule: transfer RNA, 73 nt
Filed under: Gomphillus americanus
Lineage: Eukaryota; Fungi; Ascomycota; Lecanoromycetes; Ostropales; Graphidaceae
Description: tRNA-Arg
Rfam family: tRNA
About the family: Transfer RNA (tRNA) molecules are approximately 80 nucleotides in length. Their secondary structure includes four short double-helical elements and three loops (D, anti-codon, and T loops).
Source: RNAcentral
AACGUAAUAUCUUAAUGGGUAAAGUUUUGUGCUACGGACACAAAGUAUGUAAGUUCAAGUCUUAUUUACGUUU